ACGCCCGUAGCUCGACUGGAUAGAGCAUCUGACUACGGAUCAGAAGGUUUGAGGUUCGAAUCCUCAUGGGCGCGCCU
Molecule: transfer RNA, 77 nt
Filed under: Verrucomicrobiota bacterium
Lineage: Bacteria; Pseudomonadati; Verrucomicrobiota
Description: Verrucomicrobia bacterium tRNA-Arg
Rfam family: tRNA
About the family: Transfer RNA (tRNA) molecules are approximately 80 nucleotides in length. Their secondary structure includes four short double-helical elements and three loops (D, anti-codon, and T loops).
Source: RNAcentral